UUCCACACAGUCUAGCUGGCAAUGGGGUCAGGAGACGUUUUGCUACUUCACAUCUUUUGGUCACUGGUAAAUAUUCAGUUUCCUCAGGUUAGAAGGGAGAGAAAUGCACACACAUGAUCCACCAGUCCAUGUGGGAUUCCCUCUGCCCUUCUGGCAUCUGAAGGCUGUGAUUCAAAGAUCCCCCCUGCAACCUUCCCACAAAUGAACCAACUGAUUCUCACAACCGAAGGGAGAAUGGACACCUCCCAUUGAGGGAC
RNAcentral lists this long non-coding RNA (257 nucleotides) under Homo sapiens (human). Its description in RNAcentral is "HSALNT0386926". Lineage: Eukaryota; Metazoa; Chordata; Mammalia; Primates; Hominidae. The record is from RNAcentral.